GCAUAAUCUCUACGGAGAAAAGCAGGGGAUCGCAAGACCUUGCGCUCUUGGAGCGGCCGAUGUCUGAUUAGCUAGUUGGUGAGGUAAAGGCUUACCAAGGCGACGAUCAGUAGCUGGUCUGAGAGGACGACCAGCCACACUGGGACUGAGACACGGCCCAGACUCCUACGGGAGGCAGCAGUGGGGAAUUUUGGACAAUGGGGGAAACCCUGAUCCAGCCAUGCCGCGUGAGUGAAGAAGGCCUUCGGGCUGUAAAGCUCUUUCAGCCGGAACGAAACGGUCACGGCUAAUACCUGUGAUCACUGACGGUACCGGAAGAAGAAG
RNAcentral lists this ribosomal RNA (324 nucleotides) under uncultured beta proteobacterium. RNAcentral's name for it is "bacterial SSU rRNA". It matches the Rfam family "Bacterial small subunit ribosomal RNA", at positions 171 to 490 of the family's 1533-position model. Lineage: Bacteria; Pseudomonadati; Pseudomonadota; Betaproteobacteria. The record is from RNAcentral.